Molecule: ribosomal RNA, 468 nt
Filed under: uncultured bacterium
Lineage: Bacteria
Description: partial 16S ribosomal RNA
Rfam family: Bacterial small subunit ribosomal RNA
Source: RNAcentral
GACGAACGCUGGCGGUGUGCUUAACACAUGCAAGUCGAACGGAAAGGCCCUGCUUUUGUGGGGUGCUCGAGUGGCGAACGGGUGAGUAACACGUGAGUAACCUGCCCUUGACUUUGGGAUAACUUCAGGAAACUGGGGCUAAUACCGGAUAGGAGCUCCUGCUGCAUGGUGGGGGUUGGAAAGUUUCGGCGGGUGGGGGUGGACUCGCGGCUUAUCAGCUUGUUGGUGGGGUAGUGGCUUACCAAGGCUUUGACGGGUAGCCGGCCUGAGAGGGUGACCGGCCACAAUGGGACUGAGAGACGGCCCAGACUCCUACGGGAGGCAGCAGUGGGGAAUAUUGCACAAUGGGCGGAAGCCUGAUGCAGCAACGCCGCGUGCGGGAUGACGGCCUUCGGGUUGUAAACCGCUUUCGCCUGUGACGAAGCGUGAGUGACGGUAAUGGGUAAAGAAGCACCGGCUAACUACGUG